Long non-coding RNA from Hyla sarda, 448 nucleotides. RefSeq lists it as uncharacterized. NCBI's taxonomy places the organism in Eukaryota, Metazoa, Chordata, Amphibia, Anura, Hylidae. The record is from RefSeq and is a predicted model, not a curated record. The transcript is spliced from 3 exons.
GUUUCUGUGAGCUCCGUGCAUUCCGCUUCUCUCAGUAUCUAUCUUUGGUCCUCAACACCUCUCCUACUUCCCAGCUUCUAUUUAGCCUCCCUCACUACAGCAGUGGUGUAUUUCUACAUUCUCCACAGUUCUCUACUCAGAAGCAAGGGACCAUUAUCGGGAGCGGGUGCACGGAAAAGAAGAGACCCGCGGAGAUCAGAACAUUAAGACAGCUGUUUAAAUCGUUCCAGAACCUUCUGCAUAUUGGAAGACACCAAAUUUUCCUCCCAUUUCUAACGAGAUUACUCUCCUCCAUGUUGAAGUUCCUUAUUCUUCAUUGGACUACUAUGUUUAUAUUGCAAGUUUUCCUUCGCUAACAAAGAAAGAGGGAUAUUUGAAGAUUGCAGAGACUUAUAUAACCUACCAUAUUUCUGAUUGGCUGAGCAUUAUGCACAGCAUGUUUGUAUUU